GAUGAACGCUAGCUACAGGCUUAACACAUGCAAGUCGAGGGGCAGCAGGGAUUUAGCUUGCUAAAUCCGCUGGCGACCGGCGCACGGGUGCGUAACGCGUAUCCAACUUUCCCGUUACUCAGGGAUAGCCUUCCGAAAGGGAGAUUAAUACCUGAUGGUGUUUGAAGUUCGCAUGUUCUUCAAACUAAAGAUUUAUCGGUAACGGAUAGGGAUGCGUGACAUUAGAUAGUAGGCGGGGUAACGGCCCACCUAGUCUACGAUGUCUAGGGGUUCUGAGAGGAAGGUCCCCCCACACUGGAACUGAGACACGGUCCAGACUCCUACGGGAGGCAGCAGUGAGGAAUAUUGGUCAAUGGUCGGAAGACUGAACCAGCCAAGUAGCGUGAAGGAUGAAGGUUCUAUGGAUUGUAAACUUCUUUUAUACGGGAAUAAAACCUCCCACGUGUGGGAGCUUGUAUGUACCGUAUGAAUAAGCAUCGGCUAACUCCGUGCCAGCAG
This 498-nucleotide ribosomal RNA is filed under the name uncultured bacterium. RNAcentral describes it as "bacterial SSU rRNA". It matches the Rfam family "Bacterial small subunit ribosomal RNA", at positions 28 to 514 of the family's 1533-position model. The record is from RNAcentral.